ACCAGGUUCGUGGUGGUGCGGUGCAGGAAGUCCGCGCGGGCGUGCCGGACCUUGCGGUGCGCGCGGGCCACCUUGCGCUUGGCUUUGCGCCGGUUCGCGCUGCCCUUCUGCUUGCGGGCCAUGCGCCGCUGGUAGCGGGCGAGGUUGCGGGCCUUGCGGUCCAGGUGCUUCGGAUUGGCGAUGGUCUCGCCGGUAGACAGCACCGCGAAGUCUUUCACCCCGAGAUCGAUACCGAUGGAUUCGCCGGUCGGCGCGGCCGGUUCGGAAUCGUCGGUGUCCACGGCGAACGUCACGUACCAGCGCCCGUCCGGCUCACGGGAGACGAUGACCGUCGUGGGGUUGAUUGUGGCCGGGUCGAUGCCGGGCCACGACCACACGAACCGCAAUGGAGUCGACUGCUUCGCCAACGUCAACUGCCCGUUACGCAGCUUGAAGGCACUGCGGGUGUAGUGCGCCGACUGCUUGCCGGUGCGGUUCUUGAACCGCGGAUACUUCGCCCGUCCGGCGAAGAAGUUCUGGUACGCGGUGUGCUGGUGCCGCAGCGUCUGCUGCAACGGCACCGACGACACUUCCGACAGGAACGCCAGCUCAUCGG
This 595-nucleotide antisense RNA is filed under the name Halosaccharopolyspora lacisalsi. Its description in RNAcentral is "Saccharopolyspora lacisalsi Saccharopolyspora sRNA 389". It matches the Rfam family "Saccharopolyspora sRNA 389". Lineage: Bacteria; Bacillati; Actinomycetota; Actinomycetes; Pseudonocardiales; Pseudonocardiaceae. The record is from Rfam by way of RNAcentral.